Anopheles funestus (African malaria mosquito) is the source of this 5007-nucleotide long non-coding RNA. RefSeq lists it as uncharacterized. The transcript has 3 exons. Lineage: Eukaryota; Metazoa; Arthropoda; Insecta; Diptera; Culicidae. The record is from RefSeq and is a predicted model, not a curated record.
UGGCUAAUGUGUCUUGGCUAAUGUGUCUUGGCUAAUGUGUCUUGGCUAAGGUGUCUUGGCUAAGGUGUCUUGGCUAAGGUGUCUUGGCUAAGGUGUCUUGGCUAAGGUGUCUUGGCUAAGGUGUCUUGGCUAAUGUGUCUUGGCUAAUGUGUCUUGGCUAAUGUGUCUUGCCUAAUGUGUCUUGGCUAAUGUGUCUCGGCUAAUGUGUCUUGGCUAAUGUGUCUUGGCUAAUGUGUCUUGGCUAAGGUGUCUUGGCUAAGGUGUCUUGGCUAAGGUGUCUCGGCUAAUGUGUCUUGGCUAAUGUGUCUUGGCUAAUGUGUCUUGGCUAAUGUGUCUCGGCUAAUGUGUCUUUUCUAAUGUGUCUUGGCUAAGGUGUCUUGGCUAAGGUGUCUUGGCUAAGGUGUCUUGGCUUAUGUGUCUUGGCUAAUGUGUCUUGGCUAAGGUGUCUUGGCUAAUGUGUCUUGGCUAAGGUGUCUUGGCUAAGGUGUCUUGGCUAAUGUGUCUUGGCUAAGGUGUCUUGGCUAAUGUGUCUUGGCUAAUGUGUCUCGGUAAAUGUGUCUUGGCUAAUGUGUCUUGGCUAAGGUGUCUUGGCUAAGGUGUCUUGGCUAAUGUGUCUUGGCUAAGGUGUCUUGGCUAAGGUGUCUUGGCUAAGGUGUCUUGGCUAAUGUGUCUUGGCUAAGGUGUCUUGGCUAAGGUGUCUUGGCUAAUGUGUCUUGGCUAAGGUGCCUUGGCUAAGGUGUCUUGGCUUAUGUGUCUUGGCUAAUGUGUCUUGGCUAAGGUGUCUUGGCUAAUGUGUCUUGGCUAAGGUGUCUUGGCUAAUGUGUCUUGGCUAAGGUGUCUUGGCUAAUGUGUCUUGGCUAAUGUGUCUUGGCUAAGGUGUCUUGGCUAAUGUGUCUUGGCUAAGGUGUCUUGGCUAAUGUGUCUUGGCUAAUGUGUCUCGACUAAUGUGUCUUGGCUUAUGUGUCUUGGCUAAGGUGUCUUGGCUAAAGUGUCUUGGCUAAGGUGUCUUGGCUAAGGUGUCUUGGCUAAGGUGUCUUGGCUAAUGUGUCUUGGCUAAUGUGUCUUGGCUAAGGUGUCUUGGCUAAGGUGUCUUGGCUAAUGUGUCUUGGCUAAGGUGUCUUGGCUAAGGUGUCUUGGCUAAGGUGUCUUGGCUAAUGUGUCUUGGCUAAUGUGUCUUGGCUAAUGUGGCUUGGCUAAGGUGUCUUGGCUAAGGUGUCUUGGCUAAUGUGUCUUGGCUAAGGUGUCUUGGCUAAUGUGUCUUGGCUAAUGUGUCUUGGCUAAUGUGUCUUGGCUAAGGUGUCUUGGCUAAUGUGUCUUGGCUAAUGUGUCUCGGCUAAUGUGUCUUUUCUAAUGUGUCUUGGCUAAGGUGUCUUGGCUAAGGUGUCUUGGCUAAAGUGUCUUGGCUAAGGUGUCUUGGCUAAGGUGUCUUGGCUAAGGUGUCUUGGCUAAUGUGUCUUGGCUAAUGUGUCUUGGCUAAGGUGUCUUGGCUAAUGUGUCUUGGCUAAUGUGUCUUGGCUAAUGUGUCUUGGCUAAGGUGUCUUGGCUAAGGUGUCUUGGCUAAUGUGUCUUGGCUAAGGUGUCUUGGCUAAUGUGUCUUGGCUAAGGUGUCUUGGCUAAUGUGUCUUGGCUAAGGUGUCUUGGCUAAUGUGUCUUGGCUAAUGUGUCUUGGCUAAGGUGUCUUGGCUAAUGUGUCUUGGCUAAGGUGUCUUGGCUAAUGUGUCUUGGCUAAUGUGUCUCGACUAAUGUGUCUUGGCUUAUGUGUCUUGGCUAAGGUGUCUUGGCUAAAGUGUCUUGGCUAAGGUGUCUUGGCUAAGGUGUCUUGGCUAAGGUGUCUUGGCUAAUGUGUCUUGGCUAAUGUGUCUUGGCUAAGGUGUCUUGGCUAAGGUGUCUUGGCUAAUGUGUCUUGGCUAAGGUGUCUUGGCUAAGGUGUCUUGGCUAAGGUGUCUUGGCUAAUGUGUCUUGGCUAAUGUGUCUUGGCUAAGGUGGCUUGGCUAAGGUGUCUUGGCUAAGGUGUCUUGGCUAAGGUGUCUUGGCUAAGGUGUCUUGGCUAAUGUGUCUUGGCUAAUGUGUCUUGGCUAAUGUGUCUUGGCUAAGGUGUCUUGGCUAAUAUGUCUUGGCUAAUGUGUCUCGGCUAAUGUGUCUUUUCUAAUGUGUCUUGGCUAAUGUGUCUUGGCUAAGGUGUCUUGGCUAAGGUGUCUUGGCUAAGGUGUCUUGGCUAAUGUGUCUUGGCUAAGGUGUCUUGGCUAAGGUGUCUUGGCUAAUGUGUCUUGGCUAAGGUGCCUUGGCUAAGGUGUCUUGGCUAAGGUGUCUUGGCUAAUGUGUCUUGGCUAAUGUGUCUUGGCUAAUGUGUCUUGGCUAAUGUGUCUUGGCUAAGGUGUCUUGGCUAAGGUGUCUUGGCUAAUGUGUCUUGGCUAAGGUGUCUUGGCUAAUGUGUCUUGGCUAAGGUGUCUUGGCUAAUGUGUCUUGGCUAAGGUGUCUUGGCUAAUGUGUCUUGGCUAAUGUGUCUUGGCUAAGGUGUCUUGGCUAAUGUGUCUUGGCUAAGGUGUCUUGGCUAAUGUGUCUUGGCUAAUGUGUCUCGACUAAUGUGUCUUGGCUUAUGUGUCUUGGCUAAGGUGUCUUGGCUAAAGUGUCUUGGCUAAGGUGUCUUGGCUAAGGUGUCUUGGCUAAGGUGUCUUGGCUAAUGUGUCUUGGCUAAUGUGUCUUGGCUAAGGUGUCUUGGCUAAGGUGUCUUGGCUAAUGUGUCUUGGCUAAGGUGUCUUGGCUAAUGUGUCUUGGCUAAUGUGGCUUGGCUAAGGUGUCUUGGCUAAGGUGUCUUGGCUAAUGUGGCUUGGCUAAGGUGUCUUGGCUAAGGUGUCUUGGCUAAUGUGUCUUGGCUAAGGUGUCUUGGCUAAUGUGUCUAGGCUAAUGUGUCUUGGCUAAUGUGUCUUGGCUAAGGUGUCUUGGCUAAUGUGUCUUGGCUAAUGUGUCUCGGCUAAUGUGUCUUUUCUAAUGUGUCUUGGCUAAGGUGUCUUGGCUAAGGUGUCUUGGCUAAGGUGUCUUGGCUAAUGUGUCUUGGCUAAUGUGUCUUGGCUAAUGUGUCUUGGCUAAGGUGUCUUGGCUAAGGUGUCUUGGCUAAUGUGUCUUGGCUAAGGUGUCUUGGCUAAGGUGUCUUGGCUAAGGUGUCUUGGCUAAUGUGUCUUGGCUAAUGUGUCUUGGCUAAUGUGUCUUGGCUAAUGUGUCUUGGCUAAGGUGUCUUGGCUAAUGUGUCUUGGCUAAGGUGUCUUGGCUAAGGUGUCUUGGCUAAGGUGUCUUGGCUAAUGUGUCUUGGCUAAUGUGUCUUGGCUAAGGUGUCUUGGCUAAUGUGUCUUGGCUAAUGUGUCUCGACUAACGUGUCUUGGCUAAUGUGUCUUGGCUAAGGUGUCUUGGCUAAGGUGUCUUGGCUAAUGUGUCUUGGCUUAUGUGUCUUGGCUAAUGUGUCUUGGCUAAGGUGUCUUGGCUAAGGUGUCUUGGCUAAGGUGUCUUGGCUAAGGUGUCUUGGCUAAUGUGUCUUGGCUAAGGUGUCUUGGCUAAUGUGUCUUGGCUAAUGUGUCUUGGCUAAGGUGUCUUGGCUAAUGUGUCUUGGCUAAGGUGUCUUGGCUAAUGUGUCUUGGCUAAUGUGUCUUGACUAAGGUGUCUUGGCUAAGGUGUCUUGGCUAAGGUGUCUUGGCUAAUGUGUCUUGGCUAAGGUGUCUUGGCUAAGGUGUCUUGGCUAUUGUGUCUUGGCUAAUGUGUCUCGGCUAAUGUGUCUUGGCUAAUGUGUCUUGGCUAAUGUGUCUUGGCUAAGGUGUCUUGCCUAAGGUGUCUUGGCUAAGGUGUCUUGGCUAAUGUGUCUUGGCUAAUGUGUCUUGGCUAAUGUGUCUUGGCCAAGGUGUCUUGGCUAAUGUGUCUUGGCUAAGGUGUCUUGGCUAAUGUGUCUUGGCUAAUGUGUCUUGGCUAAGGUGUCUUGGCUAAUGUGUCUUGGCUAAUGUGUCUCGGCUAAUGUGUCUUGGCUAAUGUGUCUUGGCUAAGGUGUCUUGGCUAAUGUGUCUUGGCUAAUGUGUCUUGGCUAAGGUGUCUUGGCUAAUGUGUCUUGGCUAAUGUGUCUCGGCUAAUGUGUCUUGGCUAAUGUGUCUUGGCUAAGGUGUCUUGGCUAAUGUGUCUUGGCUAAUGUGUCUUGGCUAAGGUGUCUUGGCUAAGGUGUCUUGGCUAAUGUGUCUUGGCUAAUGUGUCUCGGCUAAUGUGUCUUGGCUAAUGUGUCUUGGCUAAGGUGUCUUGGCUAAGGUGUCUUGGCUAAUGUGUCUUGGCUAAGGUGUCUUGGCUAAUGUGUCUUGGCUAAUGUGUCUUGGCUAAGGUGUCUUGGCUAAUGUGUCUUGGCUAAUGUGUCUUGGCUAAUGUGUCUUGGCUAAGGUGUCUUGGCUAAUGUGUCUUGGCUAAGGUGUCUUGGCUAAGGUGUCUUGGCUAAUGUGUCUUGGCUAAGGUGUCUUGGCUAAUGUGUCUUGGCUUAUGUGUCUCGGCUAAUGUGUCUUGGCUAAUGUGUCUUGGCUAAGGUGUCUUGGCUAAGGUGUCUUGGCUAAGGUGUCUCGGCUAAUGUGUCUUGGCUAAUGUGUCUUGGCUAAUGUGUCUUGGCUAAGGUGUCUUGGCUAAGGUGUCUUGGCUAAUGUGUCUUGGCUAAUGUGUCUCGGCUAAUGUGUCUUGGCUAAUGUGUCUUAGCUAAUGUGUCUUGGCUAAGGUGUCUUGGCUAAGGUGUCUUGGCUAAUGUGUCUUGGCUAACGUGUCUUGGCUAAUGUGUCUUGGCUAAUGUGUCUUGGCUAAGGUGUCUUGGCUAAUGUGUCUUGGCUAAUGUGUCUUGGCUAAUGUGUCUUGGCUAAGGUGUCUUGGCUAAGGUGUCUUGGCUAAUGUGUCUUGGCUAAGGUGUCUUGGCUAAGGUGUCUUGGCUAAGGUGUCUUGGCUAAUGUGUCUUGGCUAAUGUGUCUUAGCUAAUGUGUCUUAGCUAAUGUGUCUUGGCUAAGG